Molecule: ribosomal RNA, 560 nt
Filed under: uncultured bacterium
Lineage: Bacteria
Description: bacterial SSU rRNA
Rfam family: Bacterial small subunit ribosomal RNA
Source: RNAcentral
CCUACGGGAGGCAGCAGUGGGGAAUAUUGGACAAUGGGCGCAAGCCUGAUCCAGCCAUGCCGCGUGAGUGAUGAAGGCCUUAGGGUUGUAAAGCUCUUUUGCCAGGGAAGAUAAUGACUGUACCUGGAGAAUAAGCCCCGGCUAACUUCGUGCCAGCAGCCGCGGUAAUACGAAGGGGGCUAGCGUUGUUCGGAAUCACUGGGCGUAAAGCGCACGUAGGCGGACUUUUAAGUCAGGGGUGAAAGCCUGAGGCUCAACCUCAGAACUGCCCUCGAUACUGGGAGUCUUGAGUAUGGUAGAGGUUGGUGGAACAGCAAGUGUAGAGGUGAAAUUCGUAGAUAUUUGCUAGAACACCAGUGGCGAAGGCGGCCAACUGGACCAUAACUGACGCUGAGGUGCGAAAGCGUGGGGAGCAAACAGGAUUAGAUACCCUGGUAGUCCACGCCGUAAACGAUGGAUGCUAGCCGUUAGCCAGCUUGCUGGGUAGUGGCGCAGGUAACCCUUUAAGCAUCCCGCCUGGGGAGUACGGUCGCAAGAUUAAAACUCAAAUGAAUUGACGG